UGGGGAAUAUUGCACAAUGGGCGCAAGCCUGAUGCAGCAACGCCGCGUGAGGGACGACGGCCUUCGGGUUGUAAACCUCUUUUAGUAGGGAAGAAGCGAAAGUGACGGUACCUGCAGAAAAAGCACCGGCUAACUACGUGCCAGCAGCCGCGGUAAUACGUAGGGUGCGAGCGUUGUCCGGAAUUAUUGGGCGUAAAGAGCUCGUAGGCGGUCUGUCGCGUCUGCUGUGAAAACCCGAGGCUCAACCUCGGGCCUGCAGUGGGUACGGGCAGACUAGAGUGCGGUAGGGGAGAAUGGAAUUCCUGGUGUAGCGGUGGAAUGCGCAGAUAUCAGGAGGAACACCGAUGGCGAAGGCAGUUCUCUGGGCCGUAACUGACGCUGAGGAGCGAAAGCGUGGGGAGCGAACAGGAUUAGAUACCCUGGUAGUCCACGCCGUAAACGUUGGGCGCUAGAUGUGGGGACCAUUCCACGGUUUCCGUGUCGCAGCUAGCGCAUUAAGCGCCCCGCCUGGGGAGUACGGCCGCAAGGCUAAAACU
This 536-nucleotide ribosomal RNA is filed under the name uncultured bacterium. RNAcentral's name for it is "partial 16S ribosomal RNA". It matches the Rfam family "Bacterial small subunit ribosomal RNA", at positions 355 to 901 of the family's 1533-position model. The record is from RNAcentral.